Molecule: ribosomal RNA, 468 nt
Filed under: uncultured bacterium
Lineage: Bacteria
Description: partial 16S ribosomal RNA
Rfam family: Bacterial small subunit ribosomal RNA
Source: RNAcentral
GACGAACGCUGGCGGCGUGCUUAACACAUGCAAGUCGAACGGAAAGGCCCUGCUUUUGUGGGGUGCUCGAGUGGCGAACGGGUGAGUAACACGUGAGUAACCUGCCCUUGACUUUGGGAUAACUUCAGGAAAAUGGGGCUAAUACCGGAUAGGAGCUCCUGCUGCAUGGUGGGGGUUGGAAAGUUUCGGCGGUUGGGGAUGGACUCGCGGCUUAUCGGCUUGUUGGUGGGGUAGUGGCUUACCAAGGCUUUGACGGGUAGCCGGCCUGAGAGGGUGACCGGCCACAUUGGGACUGAGAUACGGCCCAGACUCCUACGGGAGGCAGCAGUGGGGAAUAUUGCACAAUGGGCGGAAGCCUGAUGCAGCAACGCCGCGUGCGGGAUGACGGCCUUCGGGUUGUAAACCGCUUUCGCCUGUGACGAAGCGUGAGUGACGGUAAUGGGUAAAGAAGCACCGGCUAACUACGUG